AGUGAACGCUGGCGGUAGGCCUAACACAUGCAAGUCGAACGGCAGCACAGUAAGAGCUUGCUCUUACGGGUGGCGAGUGGCGGACGGGUGAGGAAUACAUCGGAAUCUACUUUUUCGUGGGGGAUAACGUAGGGAAACUUACGCUAAUACCGCAUACGACCUACGGGUGAAAGCAGGGGAUCUUCGGACCUUGCGCGAUUGAAUGAGCAGAUGUCGGAUUAGCUAGUUGGCGGGGUAAAGGCCCACCAAGGCGACGAUCCGUAGCUGGUCUGAGAGGAUGAUCAGCCACACUGGAACUGAGACACGGUCCAGACCCCUACGGGAGGCAGCAGUGGGGAAUAUUGGACAAUGGGCGCAAGCCUGAUCCAGCCAUACCGCGUGGGUGAAGAAGGCCUUCGGGUUGUAAAGCCCUUUUGUUGGGAAAGAAAAGCAGCAGGUUAAUACCCCGCUGUUCUGACGGUACCCAAAGAAUAAGCACCGGCUAACUUCGUG
This 492-nucleotide ribosomal RNA is filed under the name uncultured bacterium. Its description in RNAcentral is "partial 16S ribosomal RNA". It matches the Rfam family "Bacterial small subunit ribosomal RNA", at positions 29 to 507 of the family's 1533-position model. The record is from RNAcentral.